Molecule: small nucleolar RNA, 76 nt
Organism: Ursus thibetanus thibetanus
Lineage: Eukaryota; Metazoa; Chordata; Mammalia; Carnivora; Ursidae
Source: Ensembl
GGCCUCAAAUGAUGGAGAGAUGACUUUGGGAGGACAGUGACCAAACUGGGUCGUAUUCGUACUGUCUGAUGGGGUC